Molecule: unclassified non-coding RNA, 191 nt
Filed under: uncultured Paecilomyces
Lineage: Eukaryota; Fungi; Ascomycota; Eurotiomycetes; Eurotiales; Thermoascaceae
Description: sequence contains ITS2
Source: RNAcentral
CAACCCUCAAGACCCCUUCGGGGGACUUGGUGUUGGGGACCGGCACAGGGGCCUGCCUGCUUGUCUUGCAGCGCCCUCGCCGCCCCCGAAAUGAAUUGGCGGCCUCGUCGCGGCCUCCCCUGCGUAGUAGCACAACCUCGCAACGGGAACGUGACGGCGGCCACUGCCGUAAAACAACCCAAUUUUAUUAG